CCUACGGGAGGCAGCAGUGGGGGAUAUUGCACAAUGGGGGGAACCCUGAUGCAGCGACGCCGCGUGGGUGAAGGAGUGCUUCGGCAUGUAAAGCCCUAUCGGCAGGGAAGAAGCAAGACGGUACCUGACUAAGAAGCCCCGGCUAACUACGUGCAAGCAGCCGCGGUAAUACGUAGGGGGCGAGCGUUAGCCGGAUUCACUGGGUGUAAAGGGAGCGUAGACGGCCAUGCAAGUCAGGGGUGAAAGCCCGGGGCACAACCCCGGAACUGCCCUUGGAACUGUGCGGCUAGAGUGCGGGAGGGGCAGGUGGAAUUCCUGGUGUAGCGGUGAAAUGCGUAGAUAUCAGGAGGAACACCGGUGGCGAAGGCGGCCUGCUGGACCGCGACUGACGUUGAGGCUCGAAAGCGUGGGGAGCGAACAGGAUUAGAUACCCCAGUAGUC
RNAcentral lists this ribosomal RNA (441 nucleotides) under uncultured bacterium. RNAcentral's name for it is "partial 16S ribosomal RNA". It matches the Rfam family "Bacterial small subunit ribosomal RNA", at positions 338 to 795 of the family's 1533-position model. The record is from RNAcentral.